CUCCUCUCAGGAUAGCCCCUGGAGAGUUUCCAGAACUCUACGAGCCUCGGCUAUGAGAGGGAAAGUCAAGCACAGGCCUACCCAUUCCAUUCCUACCUUGGGCAGUGGCUAGCGAGUGGAAGGCAAUCUGCGACAAAU
This is a small nucleolar RNA of Tachyglossus aculeatus (Australian echidna), 138 nucleotides long. The record is from RefSeq and is a predicted model, not a curated record. Lineage: Eukaryota; Metazoa; Chordata; Mammalia; Monotremata; Tachyglossidae.